GAUGAACGCUGGCGGCGUGCCUAAUACAUGCAAGUCGAGCGAACGGAUGAGGAGCUUGCUUCUCUGAUGUUAGCGGCGGACGGGUGAGUAACACGUGGAUAACCUACCUAUAAGACUGGGAUAACUUCGGGAAACCGGAGCUUAUACCGGAUAAUAUCUUGAACCGCAUGGUUCAAAAGUGAAAGACGGUCUUGCUGUCACUUAUAGAUGGAUCCGCGCUGCAUUAGCUAGUUGGUAAGGUAACGGCUUACCAAGGCAACGAUGCAUAGCCGACCUGAGAGGGUGAUCGGCCACACUGGAACUGAGACACGGUCCAGACUCCUACGGGAGGCAGCAGUAGGGAAUCGUCCGCAAUGGGCGAAAGCCUGACGGAGCAACGCCGCGUGAGUGAUGAAGGUCUUCGGAUCGUAAAACUCUGUUAUUAGGGAAGAACAUAUGUGUAAGUAACUGUGCACAUCGUGACGGUACCUAAUCAGAAAGCCACGGCUAACUACGUG
This 497-nucleotide ribosomal RNA is filed under the name uncultured bacterium. RNAcentral describes it as "partial 16S ribosomal RNA". It matches the Rfam family "Bacterial small subunit ribosomal RNA", at positions 28 to 507 of the family's 1533-position model. The record is from RNAcentral.